UGAGGAAUAUUGGUCAAUGGUCGGAAGACUGAACCAGCCAUGCCGCGUGCAGGAAGAAUGCCUUAUGGGUUGUAAACUGCUUUUAUAUGGGAAGAAUAAGGCGUACGUGUACGUUGAUGACGGUACCAUAUGGAUAAGCAUCGGCUAACUCCGUGCCAGCAGCCGCGGUAAUACGGAGGAUGCGAGCGUUAUUCGGAAUCAUUGGGUUUAAAGGGUCUGUAGGCGGGCUAUUAAGUCAGGGGUGAAAGGUUUCAGCUUAACUGAGAAAUUGCCUUUGAUACUGGUAGUCUUGAAUAUCUGUGAAGUGCUUGGAAUGUGUAGUGUAGCGGUGAAAUGCUUAGAUAUUACACAGAACACCGAUUGCGGAGGCAGGGGACUAACAGACGAUUGACGCUGAGAGACGAAAGCGUGGGGAGCGAACAGG
This 424-nucleotide ribosomal RNA is filed under the name uncultured bacterium. RNAcentral's name for it is "bacterial SSU rRNA". It matches the Rfam family "Bacterial small subunit ribosomal RNA", at positions 355 to 776 of the family's 1533-position model. The record is from RNAcentral.